AACGAACGCUGGCGGCAUGCCUAACACAUGCAAGUCGAACGAGACCUUCGGGUCUAGUGGCGCACGGGUGCGUAACACGUGGGAAUCUGCCCUUGGGUUCGGAAUAACAGUUGGAAACGACUGCUAAUACCGGAUGAUGACGUAAGUCCAAAGAUUUAUCGCCCAAGGAUGAGCCCGCGUCGGAUUAGCUAGUUGGUGGGGUAAAGGCCUACCAAGGCGACGAUCCGUAGCUGGCUGAGAGGAUGAUCAGCCACACUGGGACUGAGACACGGCCCAGACUCCUACGGGAGGCAGCAGUGGGGAAUAUUGGACAAUGGGCGAAAGCCUGAUCCAGCAAUGCCGCGUGAGUGAUGAAGGCCUUAGGGUUGUAAAGCUCUUUUACCCGGGAUGAUAAUGACAGUACCGGGAGAAUAAGCCCCGGCUAACUCCGUGCCAGCCGCCGCCGUAA
RNAcentral lists this ribosomal RNA (448 nucleotides) under uncultured bacterium. RNAcentral describes it as "bacterial SSU rRNA". It matches the Rfam family "Bacterial small subunit ribosomal RNA", at positions 29 to 523 of the family's 1533-position model. The record is from RNAcentral.